RNAcentral lists this ribosomal RNA (262 nucleotides) under uncultured bacterium. Its description in RNAcentral is "partial 16S ribosomal RNA". It matches the Rfam family "Bacterial small subunit ribosomal RNA", at positions 333 to 612 of the family's 1533-position model. The record is from RNAcentral.
CGUUACCUACGGGACGCAGCAGUGGGGAAUAUUGCACAAUGGGGGAAACCCUGAUGCAGCGACGCCGCGUGAGCGAUGAAGUAUUUCGGUAUGUAAAGCUCUAUCAGCAGGGAAGAAAAUGACGGUACCUGACUAAGAAGCCCCGGCUAACUACGUGCCAGCAGCCGCGGUAAUACGUAGGGGGCAAGCGUUAUCCGGAUUUACUGGGUGUAAAGGGAGCGUAGACGGCCAUUCAAGCCAGAUGUGAAAGCCCGGGGCUCGA